ACCAUGUCUGCUUUUUAUUCAAUAAUAAUAAUACAAAGAUGACUGAUCCAAACAAUUUUAAGCUCAAACACAAUGUUAUAAGGUAAGAUAAGAACUAAUGUCACAAUAUUACAGGUAAAUCGUUUUUUUUCUUCCUGUUUUUCAAUUUUUAUCACUAUAAUAUUUUCUAUUCCAAAUCUUUAAGAUCCUCAUCCAUUGGUAUGGUAUAGAAGAAGUGUUCAAUUUGCUCGACUGCAUUAUCCUCGCCCUGUGUCUUGUUUCCUCUCUUUAUUGGAGCUAGGCUCUCCUUGUAAUUGAAAACCCAACAGCCAGCAAUGUUAAGGUCCAGCUGAAAUCCAAGAUCUGUAACUUGUCUUGUUGUAGGGUCAUAUAGCACCAGCUGUGAAGUUUCUGUGAUCUCAAAAACCAUGUUAUCGUUAUCCCAGAUGUUGCGAGGCCAAUGAGCAUCUAUAUGAGGUUGUACAGUUAGAACUUUGGACCAAAUUCCCUCUUGUUCAUACCCACACAUCAUAUAUGGAUGUCAUAGGUUUGCCAGGGUCACCGGUUAAUAAAGCAAGUGAGUUGCCACGCAAUGUAAGCGUCCCCCAAUGUUCACUUGGAAUAUCUGGGACUUGCAUCUCCCUAAACUGUUCGCUGCCCAUGUCAAAAGAGCGAAUCGUGUAGAUCUCAUCAAGGCCCCUAGAAAGCCAAUAAUAAACCCCGUUGAGAUAAGUGGCAUCAAGGGGUGCAGAUAAGGUAGAACUGGAAGGGAAUUCAGGAGUUAGGUGUUUCCAUGAGUUGUUGCAUGAGGAAUAAACACAGGCAUAGACACGAGGACAAACACCUUGUCCCGGUUCAUCCCAGAAUACUCGAAUCCAUACAACCUUAUAAUCUUGAGUCAACAGGUCAAAUCCCAAUCCGAACUGAUGAUCAUGGUCCGAGAAAAAGUACUCAAUCUCAAAAGGCGCAGGCGGCAGAGACCUGAACUCUCUGGUGGCAGGAUUCCACAAACCCAAGCAGACAUUGUCUCCAUAAAACUUCUUCUGCACUAAGAAUAAGCCAUCAACUGGACCAGCAACACACGUGAAAUCAGCGACCCUCGGAAGCUGAAGGAGAGUUUUUUGUUCAGGGGUCACACCUGGAACAAUUUCUUCAGGGAGCAAGGAGAAUACAACAGACCUUACGAUGGCGUCUACUUCACGUGCUACUUUCAAGUUGCAAACAAGGAGACGGGCACGAUUGUUCUUGUGAUGAAAAUGUUUUUCUAUGAAACUCGGACUUUUGAUGAGAGCAUACCAGUGCUUGCACACACAUUUGAAAAGCAAGAGUGAUUCCACUGGCAAUCUCAAUAGAAUAUCAACUACUAGAUCUUCUGGUAAAGGACAGCGACCAUCCAUACUGGUGGAAAUAUAAGUAGAAUGAGGCAACUUACAAACAUAUUGAAAGAGAGCAGAUCUAGAAAACAUGCAUUAAUAGAACACACAGUGCAACAAAAAAGAUCAAGUAGUAGCAUUACCAUGUGAAGCAAAAAAGGGGAAGUUACAAAUUUGACCACUCAGCCACAAAUAUUUACAUCCGCAAGCCAUUACACAUAUAUUAUGGGUAUACAUAUUUUUAAAAAUAUUUUGACAAAUCUUCUUGUAGAUCAAUUUUGGAGAAAAGAUCCAAAAUAGUUCCUUAUGUUUGGCUUCAGACUCAAGGUCAUCCCUUCCCUUUCUUUUAUAUGGUGCACUAAUAGUCCUUUAAGUUUCAAGUAUUAGUGCACUUUUAAUCUCUUCAUUAACAUCCAUUUACUCAUUAACGUUUUGAUCCUUUACACAUCCAUUUAUGGCCUCCGCUGUAUACGUUCUGGUAUAACACAAAUUAAUUCUUAGAUUUAUCUUAGCAGUUGCAGAUGAGUCUUCAUUUGUACUUGUUUUAUUUUUUGGCUCUGCAUCUUUCAUUGUUUGGUGUGCACCAUUCAAGAUUUGCUAAUUCUUUAACUUUCUCCUCUAUUUUCCAUACGCAAUUAAUAAGCUGACUAUAAGUCUUUGGGUUUUCCUGAAUAAAAGCUGACUAUAUAUCUGAAACAUAACCAAAGAAUAAAAUAAAAACAAGAAAAAAGGAAAAAUAUAAUACAUACUUAGUCUUCGUGUAUCAAUAUCUCAAAUUAGCAUCGGAUAAAAGUGCACUAAUACUUAAAACUUUGGAGGACUAUUAGUGCACCAAUUGAUGAUUUCGAAUCUAAAGCCAAAAAUAAAGGACUAUCUUGUAUUUUUUCUUUCGAUUUGGGCUGAUAUGGUUUGGACGGAUCAAUAAUCAGCCAAAUAGAGUCAAUAAGAGGAGACUAGUAAAGAAGUAGUCAUGCGGUUUUCUAGUCUUUUCAUUAACUAGUCAAUAAUUAUUUUUAAAGCUACAUAUCAAGUUAGCAUAUAGAGCAAUUUUGCAGGUAAUUUAAGGAUUAAGGAGCAUGAAACAGUAAUUACCCUUUUCUACUAAUAUCAAUCUACAAAUCCUUGGAAAUGGAACAAUUUUAACUUGCCCAAUAUUGAAAUGUAAAAGAUGGAAAGAAAUAAAAAGAAUUAGCAUAAACAGAAACAAUGACAGCAAAACCCUAUAUCCAUCCCCAAAUAGCACAAAUUCAGAUUCAGAUUCAGAUUCAAAUUCAAAAAAAUAAUCAGAAAUCUAACCUUAUAAGCUGAUGAAGAAGAAGUGCCGCAAUUACGACAAGGUAAAAAUGGAAAAAGAGAUUGGAUUGAUUGAGUGGUGUUGUAGAAAUACCUCCAACAGUUGACUACUUCCUCACUUUCCUACACUUCUUUUGUCAUUUUAGUUUAUAUAACUCCCCUUAAUUCCUUUUAUCCAAGUUUUUAAUACCAAGGGAUAUGAUGGAGUAAUAAGUACUUAUUCAUUGUUAAUUAGAGGUCUUGGAUUUGAAUCUUUUGGCUAUGAAGUCAUCCGUGUUAGGGAGCACUUUACCCAUAAUGUGAGAUUUUUCGACUGGGCUCUAAUAUGGAUACCGAACAUUGAGCGAUUUUUCUUUUUUUACCUUAGUGGUCAUUUGGUAGGUGGAUAAAGCUACAUCUAAUACAUGAAUCACUACAAGAAAAGUGCUGAUUACCUGGGAAUUAUUGUAGAGAAUAUAUGAUAACCCUAAUGGGUGGAGGGAGGACCAAUUUAUAGAGGUUAUGAUUUAAUCUGGUAUAUCCAUCAAGUAACCAAUGUACGGACGAGAUCUAUUCCUUAUUAAAUAUUAUUUAUGGUAUUACUUGCGUUACUAGUAAACUUGAGCCAUAAGUAAGAAAUAAUUAAUAAUAAUUAAUAAUAAUUCUUACACUUCGGGGUGCCUUCGCCAUAGUUCAAGUCUGGAGUCGGCCAUUUCAGUUCUUGAAAGCUUUUAAUCUAGCUAGUGUUAUUCAUAGUACUUCCGUGUACUUAUCGACCUUAUGUGAGUCCAAACUCGUUUGAGUUAUACAUUUACUUUCUAAUUGUGCACGAGUAUACAUACUUUCUAGGCUUAUAGAGGUCCAGUUAGGUUAUAGAUUAUUGCUUUACUUUACUACUUCGUUCUUUUCAGACUCGUGAGCUAUAUAGUUAGACUUUCCGUUAUUGCUUUGUUCAUUUGACCUCUAAUUACUGUUACUUUCAUAUUCUUCAUAUUGUUUUUACUUUCCAAGUUCAGUUGACCUAUGAUGCCUACUGGACACCUGUUGUUCUGAUAUUCAUGCUACACUCCACAUCUGUUUUCUUGAUGUGGAUUUGAGCGCCAGCCGACAACGGUGAUUGGAGCCUAAGUAAUGCGGAGAUCUUCUGAGAUGAAUGGUGAGCUAAUGGCGUCCUAGUUCGACUUAUCUCCAUAUGUAUAUAAUUUUUUACAUGUCUUUUGUAUUCGAGACAAAUUUAUUAAGUUAGUCAAUAGCAUAGGCUCGAAACUAUGACUAGAACAUUGAGUGCAUGACAUGCACAUCUUACUCCUUACUUUCCUUAUUCGUGCCUGUUUUUUUCAUACUUUCUAACUUUCACUAGUACAUUAUCCCUUGUUAAGGAAAAUUAUGUAAACAAAAUAGUAAAUGGCCUGAUCCACUUAAGAGUGAGGGCUAGUUCAUUGAUUGAUACAGCUAAAUCACAUUAAAUAAUAAAUACGGAGGAGGGCCUAAAAUACCCUUCAAGUAUAGGUAAUGGAACAAAAAUACCCUCUUCCACCUUUAGGCUCCAAAAUACCCUUCCAUCCAUCUAUAUGGACCUAUAUUACCCUUUCACUUAACAGAUUCUUUAAGACUAAUAAUUAAUCUUUUCAUUAAUGAUGUGACAGUCUUUAAUUGGUUGAAAUUGGAAUUAACCAAAAUAAGAAUUUCUCUUAAUUAAACCCAGAUCCAACUAAAUUCCACCCGACUCACUUAAAAUUCUAUUGACCCAUAUCUUAAAUAAUCAAACUUCAAUCAACAACUUGCUCCAGUUAUUUUUAAUCCCAGUCAAAAAAGAGGUACAUUAGACCAUAAACAACAUGAAACUUCCGAAAAUUCCCUGGAAACAUUCCAAGAAGGAAGAAGUGAAAUACAAGAUCAAGUGCCACUAUAAUCAUAUACCAAUAUACACCAUAUUUUGAAACACUAUGAAAAGUCCAGCAAAUCUCCAAUCUCUGGGAAACAUAAACUCAAAGCGGUAAAAUUUCUCAAAAUCCGAAACCCUAGAGUUCAAAAAUUAUUUCACUUCUUUCUUUUUUGCGAUUCAUAUAAAGCACCGCACGCAAAAAGCAAAACCAACAUAAUUUUGGGAAAUUCUCAAAGCAGAAUCAUGGAAUAGAAUAUAAAAAAAAAAUAAAAAAUUUAGCCAUAGCAAGAGAUUAUAUACUUGAUGAAGAAAAGCGAUAGAUAUCGCUUUUCUUCAUCUGCAAAUUUUACGAGAAAAUUAUAUGGAGAGAAAUUCAGUGUACAGAGAAAAAAAAGGAAACUCACCGCUACACACUCGAUUCUUCUUGUUUUUUUUUAAAGAUAUGGGUCAGUAAAAUUUUACGUGGGUUGGGUAGAGUUUAGUUGGAUCCGGGUUUGAUUUGGAGAAAUUAUUGUUUUUGCUUAAUCUAAAUUCCAGCCAAUUAAAGAUUGUCACAUCAUUAAUGAAAAGAUUAAUUAUUACUCAUAAAAAAUCUGUUAAGUGAAAGGGUAAUAUAGGUCCAUAUAGAUGGAUGAAAGGGUAUUUUUGAGCCCAAAGGUGGAUGGAGGGUAUUUUUGUUCCAUUCCCUAUACUUGAAGGGUAUGUUAGGCCCUUCUCCGUAAUAUAUAUUACAUUUUUGAACUGUUAAACUAGAAACAAGAUUUAGGAUUUUUCAAGUGGACCAAAAUACAGAUAUUGAUGCCGAGUACUUAAAGUCUGUUGCUUGCCGAUACUCUAAAAGUAGUAGUGUAUUUUUGGAGAAUCUAACAUGAGUGGAGAGUACACGCGCAACUUAGCUUAAAUUGUGUUGGUCCAAAAGGAAUGCCCCUUGAUACCAUAAACAAAAAAUACCAUGUCAGCUUUUUAUUCAAUAAUAGUACAAAGAUGACUGAUCCAAACAAUUUUAAGCUCAAACACAAUGUUAUAAGAAGACAAGAUACGAACUAAUGUCACAAUAUUACAGGUAAAUCGUUUUUUUUUCUUCCUGUUUUUCAAUUAUUAUCAUUAUAGUAUUUUGUAUUCCAAAUCUUAACGAUACUCAUCCAUUGGUAUGGUAUAGAAGAAGUGUUCAAUUUGCUCGACCUCGCCCUGUGUCUCGUUUCCUCUCUUUAUUGGAGCUAGGCUCUCCUUGUAAUUGAAAACCCAACAGCCAGCAAUGUUAAGGUCCAGGUGAAAUCCAAGAUCUGUAACUUGUCUUGUUUUAGGGUCAUAUCGCACCAGCUGUGAAGUUUCUGUGAUCUCGAAAACCAUCUUAUCAUUAUCCAAGAUGUUGCGAGGCCAAUGAGCAUCUAUAUGAGGUUGUACAGUUAGAACUUUGGACCAAUUUCUGUCUUGUUUCAUUACCCACACAUCGUAUAUGGAUGUCAUUGGUUUACCAGGGUCUCCGGUUAACAUAGCAAGUGAGCCGCCAUGCAAUGUAAGUGUCCCCCAAUGUUCACUUGGAAUAUCUGGGACUUGCAUCUCCCCAAACUGUUCGCUGCCCAUGUCAAAAGAGCGAAUCGUGUAGAUCUCAUCAAGGCCCCUACAAAGCCAAUAAUAAACCCCGUUGAGAUAAGUGGCGUCAAGGGGUGCAGAUAAGGUAGAACUGGGAGGGAAUUCAGGAGUAAGGUAUUUCCAUGAAUUGUUGCAUGAGGAAUAGACACAGGCAUAGACACGAUUAUUAGCACCUUGUCCCAGUUCAUCCCAGAACACUCGAAUCCAUACAACCUUAUAAUCUAGAGUCAACAGGUCAAAUCCCAAUCCGAACUGAUGAUCAUGGUCCGAGAAAAAGUACUCAAUCACAAAAGGCGCAGGAGGCAGAGACCUGAACUCUCUGGUGGCAGGAUUCCACAAACCCAAGCAGACAUUGUAUCCAUAAAACUUCUUCUGCACUAAGAAUAAGCCAUUAACUGGACCAGCAACACACGUGAAAUCAGUGAUCCGAAGCUGAAGGAGAGUUUUUUGUUCAGGGGUCACACCUGGAACAAUUUCUUCAGGGAGCAAGGAGAAUACAACAGACCUUACGAUGGGGUGUACACGUGCUACUUUCAAGAUGCAAACAAGGAGGCGGGCACAAUUAUUCUUGUGAUGAAAAUGUUUUUCUAUGAAACUCGGACUUUUGAUGAGAGCAUACCAGUGCUUGCACACACAUUUGAAACGCAAGAGUGAUUCCACUGGCAAUCUCAAUAGAAUAUCAACUACUAGAUCUUCUGGUAAAGGACGGCGACCAUCCAUACUGGUGGAAAUAUAAGUAGAAUGAGGCAACUUACAAACAUAUUGAAAUAGAAUAGAUCUAGAAAACAUGCAUUAAUAGAACACACAGUGCAACGAAGAAGAUCAAGCAGCAGCAUUACCAAUGUGAAGCAAAAAAGGGGAAGUUACACAUUUGACCACUCGGCCACAAAUAUUUAUAUCCGCAAGCCAAUACACAUAUUAUGGGUAAACAUAUUUUUAAAAAUAUUUUGACAAAAUUUCUUGUAGAUCAAUUUGGGAGAAAAGAUCCAAAAUAGUUCUUUAUGUUUGGCUUCAGACUCAAAGUCAUCCCUUCCCUUUCUUUUAUAUGGUGCACUAAUAGUCCUUUAAGUUUCAAGUGUUAGUGCACUUCUAGUCUCUUGAUUAACAUCCAUUUACUCAUUAACGUUUUGAUCCUUUACACAUCCAUUUAUGGCCUCCGCUGUAUACAUUCUGGUACAAAACAAAUUAAUUCUUAGAUUUAUCUUAGCAAUUGCAGAUGAGUCUUCAUUUGUACUUCGUUUUAUAUUUUGGCUCUGCAUCUUUCAUUGUUUGGUGUGCAGUAUUCAAGAUUUGCUAAUUCUUUAACUUUCUCCUUUAUUUUCGAUACACAAUUAAUAAGCUGACUAAGUCUUUGGGUUUUUCCUGAAUAAAAGUUUCUUGCGCUUUGCCUAUAUAUCUGGAGCAUAACCAAAGAAUAAAUAAAAACAAGAAAAAAGGAAAAAUAUAAUACAUACUUAGUCUUCGUGUAUCAAUAUCUCAAAUUAGCAUCGGAUAAAGGGUGUGUUCCGUAGAAAAUAGUUUCUAAUCAAAAUUUUUGGAAAAGAUUUUCUUAGGAAAACAAGUUCCAUACGUGACACUUCAAAAUUCAAAUGAAGAAAAUGACUUUCUAAAGGAAGUAGGGAAAACAAGUUUCAUAUGUGACAUUUCAAUUGAGUAUGUCCUCCCACUCUCUAAGACACCACAUAUUCACCUCACUCCCGUAGCUUCCAUACCCACUACCCUACACAUCUACCCCACCUCCGUCCCUCAUAGUAUUGUCUAGAUAAUACAUAAAUGCUUUUAGAAUAAUAUUAAAUUUUUUUUGCUUAUAUACCAAACACAAAAUAUACAUAAGAAUCUCACUUAUUUUCCUAGAAAAUAUUUUUCAAAAAAUAUUUUCCUUGGUACCGUACACACCCAAAGUUCCAAUGUCCUCGGAUAAUAUCAGCCAAAUAGAGUCAAUAAGAGGAGACUAGUAAAGAAGUAGUCAUGUGGUUUUCUAGUCUUUUCAUUAACUAGUCAAUAAUUAUUUUUGAGCUACAAAUCAAAUUAGCAUAUAGAGCAAUUUUGCAGGUAAUUUAAGGAGCAUGAAACAGUAAAUACCCUUUUCUGCUAAUAUCAAUCUACAAAUCCUUGGAAAUGGAACAAUUUUAACUUACCCAAUAUUGAAAUGUAAAAGAUGGAAAGAAGUAAAAAGAAUUAGCAUAAACAGAAACAAUGGCAGCAAAACCCUAUAUCCAUCCCCAAACAGCACAAAUUCAGAUUCAGAUUCAAAUUCAAAAUAAUAAUCAGAAAUCUAACCUUAUAAGCUGAUGAAGAAGAAGUGGCGGACAAGGAAAAAAUGGAAAAAGAGAUAUCGGAUCGAUUGAUUGGUGUUGUAGAAAUACCUCAACAGUUGACUACUUCCUCACACUUCUUUCGUCAUUUUAUUUUACUACUUCUUGGGAACGCGUUUGUUCCUCUCCUUUUUUUUUCUCGCGUGUGUUCCUUAUUAUUAUUAAAUUUUUAUAUACUAAAAAGUUGAGUUAUAAAAUAGAAAAUGCUGAAAUUAACAAUAGUAGUUUUAUCAUUUAUAUUUUAUUUACUAAAUAAUAAAAAAUAUAUACUGGAGCAUUUUUUGUUAACCUUCAUUUGUUGUUUCUCACUCUCUUUUCUUCUCAUGUUGAAAUUUGAUUGUGCAAUUACCUUCCUAUGAUAACAUCAAUCUUUGUGAAAUUGGUUCUUAAAAAGCAAAUUCAAAUUUUAAUUUUGGAAGUGUUUUUACAUAAUAGUGGAGAAUGAUUCUUCAUAUUCAACUUUUAAUUUUGAAUUGUAAUGAACAAUUACUAUUCAAAUACAAAUCUAGUUUAUUUUUAACCUUACAUUUAUUGAAUCUUUAAUGUGUACGUUAAUGAUAUAUAAUAAUUUAUUAAUUAGGUAUUUGAUUUAGUGUAGGGGCAAAAUGGUAAUUCAACUAUACACUUUCGAGUUUUCACUUUUAAUAAGUAAUUAUAAUAUAUACAAAAGAUUAAACCAUUUGAUAUUAAAAAAAUAUAUGUAUGAGUAAUAAUUAACAUUCAAUGGCAAAAGAAUGUAUCACAUUCUCAUAAACAAUAUCUCUAAGGCAAAAGUAGACAUUCUAAUUUGGACAAUUACUACUUAACUACUUAUGGGUUCAGCCAAUAAUCUGGAGAUAGGAGUUUGACAAUUUUUCAGCCAUAGUUAAAAUUCUACAUCAAUAAUAAAUAGCUUCUUAUCACAGUAAAUAGACAUUUGAAUAAUUAAUAUAAAUUGAGCAACACAAACUUUUCAAAAUGACUUAUUCUAGAUAUAUAAUAGGGAAAAGGGUCAAAAUUACCCCUCAGUUUUGUUUUAUUGGUUAACUUUAUCCUUACCAUUAAAAACAAGUUAUUUUUACCCCUGUCGUCAAUAAACUUAACAAAUAUACCCCUCCUUGAACGGAAACCCCCAAAUCAAUUGAAAUUACCCGAUUUUAAUUGAAAUUAUCCAAUUUCUUUUUUAACCCGAACUAGAACCCAACCCACUAAACUAAACAAAUUAACCCAUUUCCAAUCUUCUUCAUCUCAGUGUUCUUGGCUAAGUACCCUAAGAACACUCACAAUCUUUAUCAUAGCUAACACAUAAAUCCUACAUUGUCUGACAAAAUCAAUUGAAAAGGUUCGUUGGUUGAAUGUAUAACAAGUAAAUUAUUUUUGCUGAACAACAUCCCGCCUCUCUCUGUUGUGGGGUUCAGCGAAGAACAAGCCACAGAGCAAGUAAAUGGAAAAGUUUCAAUUUACACAUCAUCAUUCAAUCCAAUGAAGAAAACCAUUUCUAGGUACCAACCAAAUUACUUUUUGAUUUGUUGUCAGUAGGCUGCCCCUAAAUGUGUACCCAAUAGUACAUCUAAUUCUUCUUUACCUGGCUCGUAAAUCAAUUCAGUGGCCCUCCAUGAUUCUUGUAUGUGCACGUAAAAUUAAGCUACAAUGGAGGGGAGGUUUUUCUUUUCUCUAUCUUUUUAUUUGUUCAAAAUGUUUCCAAUAUAUCAUCAUAUUUGAUGAGUACUGGAUAUUUGAUGAUUACUGAUUUCUUGUAUGUAGCAAAUCAUGUGAUUGAACGACUGCAGUGUUUAGCCUAGGCAACCUUCAACAAACAAUUUGGAGAUAAAUAUCAGGUCUUUUCGAUUGAUUUUGUUAGACAAUGUAGAAUUUGUGUUAGCUAUGAUAAAGAUUGUGAGUGUUCUUAGGGUACUUAGCCAUGAACACUGAGAUGAAGAAGAUUGGAAAUGGGUUUAUUUGUUUAGUUUAGUGGGUUGGGUUCUGGUUCAGGUUAAAAAAGAAAUUGGAUAAUUUCAAUUAAAAUUGAAUAAUUUCAAUUGAUUUGGGGAUUUCCGUCCAAGGAGGGAUAUAUUUGUUAAGUUUAUUGACGGCAGGGGUAAAAAUAACUUGCUUUUAACGGUAAGAGUAAAAUCAACCAAUAAAAUAAAGUUGAUGGGUAAUUUUGACCCUUUUCUCUAUAUAACAUAUAUGGACAAUUUGAGGAAUGAAUGUUUCAACACAUGAAUAAUAGACUAAUAAGGUCAAUAGAUUAUACAUAUAAAUGAAAAGUUAAAUAAAAAUACAGCCUCAAAAUCACAUACUAUGAUCCAUCAUUUAUCUCCAAUUCGGUGGCCCAGUUUAUUUUAGGGUAUGGAUUCUUUUAUUUUUAAAAAAAAAACAUAUUUGAUUUUUCUCAUUUAGUUAUUCCUCUCCCUACUCAUAAAUAAUAAUCUCGAAAAAAUAUUUUUACUAAAGUAGAACACUCUAUCAAGAGCCAAAUAAACAUAUCAAAUUAACUAAUUAAUCUUUCAUCAAUUAUUGAUAGAACAUGAAUUGUAUAUCACUACUUUCUUCAUGUAGGAUACAAGAUAUUUCAAUAGAAAAACAAAAUCAUAAGAAAGCAUAUCAAAAUAUAAAAAAAGGACAUAUAAAAUACUUUGGCUGGACAAGGAGGAGCGGAUAAAAACAAAAGGAAAUUACUGCACAUACAAAAUGAUGAGCAAGAUUAGUUUUUUGCAGGAUAGUCUCUCAUCCUCCUCUUAUCAUUUACAUGAAAACCAUGCUAGGCAUUUUAUAGCAAUAGCUAGGAUGACCUUUGAGUAGAUAAUUAAUUUGCAUUAAUUUAGUUUAAUGAUUUUAGUCCAUAUCAAAUUUAUUUAAUGGAAAACUCUUCAAAUACUCUUGAUUUUACAGAAAAAGAGAAAUUGACUAUUAAUGUGAAUUUGAUUCAUGUACCAAUUUAAAUGAGUUUAAUCUAAGGAAGUGAAAAAAUCAUUAACAUUUUUAUUAAAACGAUACAAUUUAAUAUUUAAAUUAAAUAGUUAAAUAUUUUAUAACAUUUUAAUUUAUAAUAGGGGUAAAACGGUAAUUCAACUUUUAACUUUUUUUAUUCCCGCUUAUAGUAAUAUAUGAUACAACUCCUCUUAAUUCCUUUUAUCUAAGUUUUUAAUUAUGUGGUGGAGUAAUAAGUACUUAUUCAUUCUUAAUUAGAGGUUCCAGUUUGAGUCUUUUUGGCUAUAAAAUCAUCUCUGUUAGAGCGCUUUACCCAUAAUCUAAGAUUUUUCGACACAAAUUCAAAUUUAGUGAGGCUCUAAUAUGGAUAUCGAACACUGAGGGGAAAAUAAAAAUAAAAAUUACCUUAGGGGUUAUUUGGUAGGUGGAUAAAGCUACAUCUAAUACAUGAAUAACAAAGUUAUUUAUGUAUUUAAUUUAUAUAAUGUUUGUAUAAAAGUUAUUCAUAUAUUAACAAAGAUGUUUCUCUCUACGAUAUGUUCCCACAGGAGAAAGAGUUUGUUACUUGAAGAGGGGGGGGGGGGAUGUUGNNNNNNNNNNNNNNNNNNNNNNNNNNNNNNNNNNNNNNNNNNNNNNNNNNNNNNNNNNNNNNNNNNNNNNNNNNNNNNNNNNNNNNNNNNGAAGGGGGGGGGGGGGUAUUUGGAGUCUUUUAGCCACAGUUCGAAGCCCUGACAUAUCGAUCUCUUUUAGCCACGGUUCAAGGUCCCAACGUAUUUUGUUUUGCCACGGUUCAAGGUCCCGACGUAUUUUAUUUUGCCACGGUUCGAGGCCCCAUCAUAUCUCUAUUCGCCUUGGUUCGAAUCCUAACAUGUGGUUCAUUUGGGUUCUUCGGGGUGCCUUCACCAAAGUUCAAGUCUAGAGUCAGCCAUUUUAAGUUCUUGAAAGCUUUUAAUAUAACUAGUGUUAUUCAUAGUACUUCUGUGUACUUAUCAGGCUUAUGUGAGUCCAAACUCGUUUGAGUUAUUUACUUUCCAAUUGCGCACAGGUAUACAUACUUUCUGGGCUUAUAGGGGUCCAGUUAGGUUAUAGAUAAUUGUUUUACUUUACUACUUUGUUCUUUCCAGACUCGUGAGCUAUAUAGUUAGACUUUCCGUUAUUACUUUGUUCAUUUGACCUCUAAUUACCGUUACAUUCAUAUUUUUCAUAUUGUUUUUACUUUCCAUGCCCAGUCGACCUAUGAUGCUACUGGGCACCUGUUGUUUUGAUAUUAUGCUACACUCCACAUCUGUUUUCUUGAUGUAGAUUUGAGCGCCAGCUGAUAAUGGUGAUUCGAGCCUAAGAAAUGCGGAGAUCUUCUGAGAUGAAGGGUGAGCUGAUGGCAUCCUAGUUCGACUUAUCUCCAUAUGUAUAUAGUUUUUUAAUGUCUUUUGUAUUCGAGACAAGUCUAUUAAGUUAGUGAAUAGCAUAGGCUCGAAACUAUGACUAGAACAUUGAGUGCAUGACAUGCACAUCUUACUCCUUAUUUUCCCUAUUCGUACCUGUUUUUUUCAUACUUUCUAACUUCACUGGUACAUUAUUCCUUGUUAAGGAAAAUUAUGUAAACAACUAGUUCUUUGAUUGAUACAACUAAUUCACAUUAAAUAAUAACUAGAAUCUUAUUACAUUUUUGAACUGUUAAACUAGAAACAAGAUUUAGGAUAAGGGAACUAUUUAUUAACUUCACUUCUCCUUAUUAGUGUCAAAAGUUUCUCGUUUAGGAAAUAUGAAGUUUUGAAGGACUAAUAGUAUAUUAUCCUUUUUUAAAAUUGAACUCUAUCCAAUGGUUGAUUCUAUUUAUGAAUCAAUUCCUUAGGUGCAUUAUUUCCAUAGGUUUCAACAUUGGUAACAAAAUCUAGCUUUCUCGCUUAAAUUGACAUAUUUCUAUACUUCCCUCAUCUUAUCUAUCACUGAGGCCGCUCCCAUCUUAUCCCUUAUAUCCUUAUUUAUAAUUUUUAUCGCUCCGAGUAUGAACGUGCAUCCACCUCAAUAUAUAUUCACAUCUCUGCAACAUGCAUCUUCUAGACAUGGGACUUGACUGGCCAACUCUCAUUUCCAUACAACAAUUACAUACACACUCUAUAUAAAUACACACAUACAUAUAUUGAUGGAAAAAUCAUCAACAGAUGAAACUUAAGCAAUACUCCCUCCAUCUCAAUUAAUGUGACAGUCGGAAUUUUGUCUUUUAAAUUGUUAAUUAUUGUGAUUUACCAUUUUUCACAUAAUUUUCAAAUACAUAAAUUUUAUAUCAAAAAAACUUAAAGUUUCUGUAUCCGAAUUUACUAUUAAAUUAUAGAAGUUUGAAUCUCAAAAUUUCAACUAAUGCCACAUAAAUUAAAUCAACUCCAACACUCAGAAAAGCUACAAAAGUUCAAACAUAGAAAGUAAAAAAAAAUUUAAAAAAGAAAUAGAAAAAACCUUGAGAUAAUAUGUCUUGCUAAUUUCCUCUUCAGAUGCUAAUUAAAGGACUUACACCAAGAACAUCAUAAUACUCUGUGUCUUUCACCAUUUUCUUUUCUUUUUCCAAAAUCCCUAUUAACAAAAAAUUUACUCUUUUACCUCCUCCAAUACUCUAAUUACCUUUUUUUUCGCGCUUCUAAAAUCUUAAUACAAGAGCGAAAAACCACUUGAGUGUAAGGAAAGGAAACAAGCCAAACGAAAAAAAAAAAAAAAACUCUCAAAAUUAUAUGAUCAAGAAAACUUGCAAGUACAAAAGGAGAAAGAGGAGGGGGUGGGUGGGGUAUGAUGAAAAGAAUGUCUCAGAAUAAGAGAGUGCCCCAACGAGACAAAGCUGCCUUUCCAGUUCUGAUCAACAAAUUAAUUACGGAAAAUCUGUUGCUUGUCGAUACUCUAAAAGCAGUGUAUUUUUGGAAUUAAGAGGAGUUGUAUAAACUAAAAUGACAAAAGAAGUGUAGGAAAGUGAGGAAGUAGUCAACUGUUGAGGUAUUUCAACAACACCACUCAAUCAAUCCAAUAUCUCUUUUUCCAUUUUUACCUUGUCGUAAUUGCGGCACUUCUUCUUCAUCAGCUUAUAAGGUUAGAUUUCUGAUUAUUUUUUUGAAUCUGAAUCUGAAUCUGAAUUUGUGCUAUUUGGGGAUGGAUAUAGGGUUUUGCUGCCAUUGUUUCUGUUUAUGCUAAUUUUUUUUAUUUCUUUCCAUCUUUUACAUUUCAAUAUUGGGUAAGUUAAAAUUGUUUCUUUUCCAAGGAUUUGUAUAUUGAUAUUAGUAGAAAAGGGUAAUUACUGUUUCAUGCUCCUUAAAUUACCUGCAAAAUUGUUCUAUAUGCUAACUUGAUAUGUAGCUCAAAAAUACCUAUUGACUAGUUAAUGAAAAGUCUAGAAAACCACAUGACUACUUCUUUACUAGUCUCCUCUUAUUGACUCUAUUUGGCUGAUUAUUGAUCCGUCCAACCCAUUUCAACCCAAAUCGAAAGAAAAAAUCCAAGAUAGUCCUUUAUUUUUGGCUUUAGAUUCGAAAUCAUCAAUUGAUGCACUAAUAGUCCUCCAAAGUUUUAAGUAUUAGUGCACUUUUAUCUGAUGCUAAUUUGAGAUAUUGAUACACGAAGACUAAGUAUGUAUUAUAUUUUUCCUUUUUUCUUGUUUUUAUUUUAUUCUUUGGUUAUGCUCCAGAUAUAUAGGCAAAGCACAAGAAACUUUUAUUCCGGAAAAACCCAAAGACUUAUAGUCAGCUUAUUAAUUGCUUAUGGAAAAUAGAAGAGAAAGUUAAAGAAUUAGCAAAUUUUGAAUGGUGCACACCAAACAUUGAAGAUGCAGAGCCAAAAAAUAAAACAAGUACAAAUGAAGACUCAUCUGCAAUUGCUAAGAUAAAUCUAACAAUUAAUAUGUUUUGUACCAGAACGUAGACAGUGGAGGUUAUAAAUGGGUGUGUAAAGGAUCAAAACGUUAAUGAGUAAAUGGAUGUUAAUGAAGAGACUAAAAAUGCACUGACACUUGAAACUUAAAGAACUAUUAGUGCACUAUAUAAAAGAAAGGGAAGGGAUGACUUUGAGUCUGAAGCCAAACAUAAGGAACUAUUUUGAAUCUUUUCCAAACAAUGUUAAGCUCAAACACAAUGUUAUAAAAAGGUAAGAUAAGAACUAAUGUCACAAUAUUACAGGUAAAUCGUUUUUUUUUCCUGUUUUUCAAUUUUUAUCACUAUAAUAUUCUGUAUGUCAAACUCUAAGAUCCUCAUCCAUUGGUAUGGUAUAGAAGUAGUGUUCAAUUUGCUCGACUGCAUUAUCCUCACCCUGAGUCUCGUUUCCUCUCUUUAUUGGAACUAGGCUCUCCUUGUAAUUGAAAACCCAACAGCCAGAAAAGAUAAGGUCCAGCUGAAAUCCAAGAUCUGUAACUUGUCUUGUUUCAGGGUUAUAUAGCACUAGCUGUGAAGUUUCUGUGAUCUCGAAAACCAUCUUAUCGUUAUCCCAGAUGUUGUAAGGCCAAUGAGCAUCUAUAUGAGGUUGAAGAGUAAGAACUUUGGACCAAUUUCCCCCUUGUUUCAUUACCCACACAUCGUAUAUGGAUGUCAUUGGUUUGCCAGGGUCACCGGUUAAUAUAGCAAGUGAGCCGCCAUGCAAUGUAAGCUUCCCCCAAUGUUCACUUGGAAUAUCUGGGACUUGCAUCUCCCCAAACUGUUCGCUGCCCAUGUCAAAAGAGUGAAUCGUGUAGAUGUCAUCAAGGCCCAUAGAAAGCCCAUAAUAAACCCCGUUGAGAUAAGUGGCGUCAAGGGGUGCAGAUAAGGUAGAACUGGGAGGGAAUUCAGGAGUAAGGUGUUUCCAUGAAUUGUUGCAUGAGGAAUAGACAUAGGCAUAGACACGAUUAUUAGCACCUUGUCCCGGUUCAUCCCAGAACACUCGAAUCCAUACAACCUUAAAAUCUUGAGUCAACAGGUCAAAUCCCAAUCCGAACUGAUGAUCAUGGUUCGGGAAAAAGGCCUCAAUCUCAAUAGGCGCAGGAGGCAGAGACCUGAACUCUCUAGUGGCAGGAUUCCACAAACCCAAGCAGAUAUCGUCUCCAAACUUCUUCUGCACUAAGAAUAAGCGAUCAACUGGACCAGCAAGACACGUGAAAUCAGUGAUCCUCGGAAGCUGAAGGAGAGUUUUUUGUUCAGGGGUCACACCUGGAACAAUUUCUUCAGGGAGCAAGGAGAAUACAACAGACCUUACGAUGGGGAGUACUUCACAUGCUACUUUCAAGUUGCAAACAAGGAGACGGGCACAAUUGUUCUUGUGAUGAAAAUGUUUUUCUAUGAAACUCGAACUUUUGAUGAGAGCAUACUAGUGCUUGCACACACAUUUGAAACACAAGAGUGAUUCCACUGGCAAUCUCAAUAGAAUAUCAACUACUAGAUCUUUUGGUAAAGGACGGCGACCAUCCAUACUAGUGGAAAUAUAAGUAAAAUGAGACAACUUACAAACAUAUUGAAAGAGAACAGAUCUAGAAACAUGCUUUAAUAGAACACGCAGUGCAACGAAGAAGAUCAAGCAGCAUCAUUACCAUGUGAAACAAAAAAGGGGAAGUUGCACAUUUGAUCACUCAGCCACAAAUAUUUACAUCAGCAAGCCAAUACACAUAUAUUAUGGGUAUACAUAUUUUUAAAAAUAUUUUGACAAUUUCUUGUAGAUCAAUUUGGGAGAAAAGAUCCAAAAUAGUUCCUCAUGUUUGGCUUCAGACUCAAAGGAUGGAGUAAUAAGUACUUAUUCAUUGUUAAUUAGAGUUCUCGGGUUUGAGUCUUUUUGGCUAUGAAGUCAUCUGUGUUAGGGAGCGCUUUACCCACAAUGUGAGAUUAUUCAGCACAAAUUCAAAUUUAGUGGGGGAUCUAAUAUGGAUACCAAACACCGAGUGGAAAACCAAAAAUAAAAAUAAAAAUGACCUUAGGGGUCAUUUGAUAGGUGGAUAAAGCUACAUUUAAUACAUGAAUAACAAAGUUAUUUAUGUAUUUAAUUUAUAUAAUAUUUUGUUUGUAAAAUGUUGUAUAAAAGUUAUUCGUGUAUUAACAAAGAUGUUUAUCUCUACGAUAUGUUCCCGCAGGAGAAAGAGUUUGUUAUUUGAAGAGGGGGGGGGGGUAUUUGGAGUCUUUUAGCCACAGUUCGAAGCCCUGGCGUAUCUCUUUUAGCCACGGUUCAAGGCCCCAACAUAUUUUUUUGGCACGGUUCGAGGCCCCAACAUAUCUCUAUUCGCCUUGGUUUGAAUCCUAACAUGUGGUUCAUUUGGGUUCUUCGGGUGCCUUCGCCAUAAUUCAAGUCUGGAGUCGGCCAUUUCAGUUCUUGAAAGCUUUUAAUCUAGCUAAUGUUAUUCAUAGUACUUCCGUGUACUUAUCGGACUUAUGUGAGUCCAAACUUGUUUGAGUUAUAUAUUUACUUUCUAAUUGUGCACGAGUAUACAUACUUUCUGGGCUUAUAGAGGUCCAAUUAGGUUAUAGAUUAUUGCUUUACUUUACUACUUUGUUCUUUUUAGACUCGUGAGCUAUAUAGUUAGACUUUCCGUUAUUGCUUUGUUCAUUUGACCUCUAAUUAUUGUUACUUUCAUAUUCUUCAUAUUGUUUUUACUUUCCAAGCUCAGUCGACCUAUGAUGCCUACUGGGCACCUGUUGUUCUGAUAUUCAUGCUACACUCCACAUCUGCUUUCUUGAUGUAGAUUUGAGCGCCUGCCGACAACAGUGAUUCGAGCCUAAGUAAUGCGGAGAUCUUCUGAGAUGAAGGGUGACCUAAUGGCGUCCUAGUUCGACUUAUCUCCAUAUGUAUAUAAUUUUUUCCUAUCUUUUGUAUUCGAGACAAGUUUAUUAAGUUAGUCAAUAGCAUAGGCUCGAAACUAUGACUAGAACAUUGAGUGCAUGACAUGCACAUCUUACUCCUUAUUUUCCUUAUUCGUACCUAUUUUUGUUCAUACUUUCUAAAUUUCACUAGUACAUUAUCCCUUGUUAAGGAAAAUUAUGUAUCCAGAAUAGUAAAUGGUCUGAUCCACUUAAGAGUGAAGGCUAGUUCAUUGAUUGAUACAUCUAAAUCACAUUAAAUAAUAUAUAUUACAUUUUUGAACUGUUAAACUAGAAACAAGAUUUAGGAUUUUUCAAGUGGACCAAAAUACAGAUAUUGAUGCAGAGUACUUAAAGUCUGUUGCUUGCCGAUACUCUAAAAGUAGUGUAUUUUUGGAGAAUCUAACAUGAGUGGAGAGUACAUGCGCAACUUAGCUUAAAAUGUGUUGGUCCAAAAGGAAUGCCCCUUGAUACCAUAAACAAAAAAUACCAUGUUUGCUUUUUAUUCAAUAAUAGUACAAAGAUGACUGAUCCAAACAAUUUUAAGCUCAAACACAAUGUUAUAAGGUAAGAAAAGAACUAAUGUCACAAUAUUACAGGUAAAUCGUUUUUUUUCUUCUUCCUGUUUUUCAAUUUUUAUCAGUAUAAUAUUAUGUAUUACAAAUCUUUAAGAUCCUCAUCCAUUGGUAUGGUAUAGAAGAAGUGUUCAAUUUGCUCGACUGCAUUAUCCUCACCCUGAGUCUCGUUUCCUCUCUUUAUUGGAGCUAGGCUCUCCUUGUAAUUGAAAACCCAACAGCCAGCCAUGUUAAGGUCCAGCUGAAAUCCAAGAUCUGUAACUUGUCUUGUUUUAGGGUCAUAUAGCACCAGCUGUGAAGUUUCUGUGAUCUCGAAAACCAUCUUAUCGUUAUCCCAGAUGUUGCGAGGCCAAUGAGCAUCUAUAUGAGGUUGUACAGUUAGAACUUUGGACCAAAUUCCCUCUUGUUUCAAUACCCACACAUCAUAUAUGGAUGUCAUAGGUUUGCCUGGGUCACCGGUUAAUAAAGCAAGUGAGUUGCCACGCAGUGUAAGCGUCCCCCAAUGUUCACUUGGAAUAGCUGGGACUUGCGUCUCCCCAAACUGCUCGCUGUCCAUGUCAAAAGUGCGAAUCGUGUAGAUCUCAUCAAGGCCCGUACAAAGCCAAUAAUAAACACCGUUGAGAUAAGUGGCGUCAAGGGGUGCAGAUAAGGUAGAACUGGAAGGGAAUUCAGGAGUAAGGUGUUUCCAUGAAUUGUUGCAUGAGGAAUAGACACAGGCAUAGACACGAUUAUUAGCACCUUGUCCCAGUUCAUCCCAGAACACUCGAAUCCAUACGACCUUAUAAUCUAGAGUCAACAG
This 19486-nucleotide long non-coding RNA is filed under the name Solanum tuberosum (potato). RNAcentral describes it as "long non-coding RNA (STUB_LNC005037)". The record is from RNAcentral. Lineage: Eukaryota; Viridiplantae; Streptophyta; Magnoliopsida; Solanales; Solanaceae.